RNAcentral lists this ribosomal RNA (775 nucleotides) under uncultured Neocallimastigales. RNAcentral describes it as "partial large subunit ribosomal RNA". It matches the Rfam family "Eukaryotic large subunit ribosomal RNA", at positions 22 to 644 of the family's 3401-position model. Lineage: Eukaryota; Fungi; Neocallimastigomycota; Neocallimastigomycetes; Neocallimastigales. The record is from RNAcentral.
GUACACGCUGUGACUAGCAUAUCAAUAAGCGGAGGAAAAGAAACUAACAAGGAUUCCCCUAGUAACGGCGAGUGAAGCGGGAAGAGCUCAAAUUUGAAAUCUUAAAGGGUUUCCCUUUACGAAUUGUAGUUUAAAGAAGUGUUUUCUGUUGAGGUUUUGGUAAAAGUUCUUUGGAAUAGGACAUCAUAGAGGGUGAGAAUCCCGUAUUUGACCUUUACUUUCAACUUUGUGAUACACUUUCAAAGAGUCGGAUUGUUUGGGAAUGCAGUCCAAAAUGGGUGGUAAAUUUCAUCUAAAGCUAAAUAUUGGCGAGAGACCGAUAGCGAACAAGUACCGUGAGGGAAAGAUGAAAAGAACUUUGAAAAGAGAGUUAAACAGUACGUGAAAUUGUCAAAAGGGAAGCGUUUGACACCAGUGUUGUUUUUCUGAAAAUCAAUUAAAGAACUGUUUAUGCUAAGUUGUUUAGACUUUAUCAGCUAAUCUGUUUAGUUUUGAGCUUUUCUUUAAUGCACUUUUCAGUUAACAAGUCAACAUCAAUUUCUUUUGCUGUAAAAAAGCUUGAGGAAGGUGGCUUGAGAUUCGUCUUAAGUGUUUAUAGCCUCUUGCCUAUGCAGUCGGAGAGAUUGAGGUCUGCAGCGUAGAUCCUUCGGGGCUAAAUGCAUUUGUGCUAAGUUAUAGCAUUUUAUAGACAACUUGUUGACUAUGAUUUGUCUUGUAGCUUACUCGCUUAUGUUAUUUUACCUACGCUUAGGAUGUUGACUGAUAUGUAGUCGUA